ACGCUGGCGGCGUGCUUAACACAUGCAAGUCGAACGAAAAUACCAAGCUUGCUUGGCUGAUUAGUGGCGAACGGGUGAGUAACACGUGAGUAACCUGCCCCUUACUUUCCUGGAUAACUGCUCGAAAGGGUAGCUAAUACGGGAUAUUCUGACUAGCCUGCAUGGGUUGGUUUGGAAAGGUUGUUUUUCUGGUAAGGGAUGGGCUCGCGGCCUAUCAGCUUGUUGGUGGGGUGAUGGCCUACCAAGGCUUUGACGGGUAGCCGGCCUGAGAGGGUGGACGGUCACACUGGGACUGAGAUACGGCCCAGACUCCUACGGGAGGCAGCAGUGGGGAAUAUUGCACAAUGGGCGCAAGCCUGAUGCAGCGACGCCGCGUGAGGGAUGAAGGCCUUCGGGUUGUAAACCUCUUUCGUCAGGGAACAAGGCACCGUCUUUUGGUGGUGUUGAGGGUACCUGGAUAAGAAGCGCCGGCUAACUACGUGCCAGCAGCCGCGGUAAUACGUAGGGCGCAAGCGUUGUCCGGAAUUAUUGGGCGUAAAGAGCUCGUAGGCGGCUGGUCGCGUCUGUCGUGAAAACUUCCGGCUCAACCGGGGGCUUGCGGUGGGUACGGGCCGGCUAGAGUGCGGUAGGGGUAACUGGAACUCCUGGUGUAGCGGUGGAAUGCGCAGAUAUCAGGAAGAACACCGAUGGCGAAGGCAGGUUACUGGGCCGUUACUGACGCUGAGGAGCGAAAGCGUGGGGAGCGAACAGGAUUAGAUACCCUGGUAGUCCACGCUGUAAACGUUGGGCACUAGGUGUGAGGCUCCUUUCCGGGGGUUUUGCGCCGUAGCUAACGCAUUAAGUGCCCCGCCUGGGGAGUACGGCCGCAAGGCUAAAACUCAAAGGAAUUGACGGGGGCCCGCA
This 903-nucleotide ribosomal RNA is filed under the name uncultured bacterium. RNAcentral's name for it is "bacterial SSU rRNA". It matches the Rfam family "Bacterial small subunit ribosomal RNA", at positions 33 to 925 of the family's 1533-position model. The record is from RNAcentral.